GCAGAUUGUGGUGGGGCCGAGAGCUGAGCUGAGAACUGAAGGAGUCGUAAGACCUGGCAUGGGAGGAGGGAAGGGGGAGCAUGUGAAGAAGGAACAUCACACAAAACAUUCAGAAGCAGGAGAGAGUUUGGAGAAGUUGAAGGCUUUCACAAUCCAUCACCUUAAGUGCAAGCACAUCGCUAAGAACUCCGCAAGGAUUAAGAACCAAUAAAAAGGAGGCAAACGACUUACUAGAAGAGAUUUACUAGUGGUGGGGGAUUCAAGGAAUCCACUCUCUACUCUGAAAGAAACACGCUCCUUCCAGUCUCUCUCUGUGGACUGAAAUCCACAGAUGUCCGAGCCAGCCCUCUGCAGUGCAGAUAUAUCCCCCAAAAGACUGGAACCCCGGCGGUAAGGACGCUCAAGCAGUCGCCAUCGGAGAUGCUUUGAAUAAUCAACUUUCUACUAAU
Cebus imitator (Panamanian white-faced capuchin) is the source of this 449-nucleotide long non-coding RNA. RefSeq lists it as uncharacterized. The transcript has 2 exons. NCBI's taxonomy places the organism in Eukaryota, Metazoa, Chordata, Mammalia, Primates, Cebidae. The record is from RefSeq and is a predicted model, not a curated record.